GACGAACGCUGGCGGCGUGCCUAAUACAUGCAAGUAGAACGCUGAAGGAGGAGCUUGCUUCUCUGGAUGAGUUGCGAACGGGUGAGUAACACGUAGGUAACCUGCCUGGUAGCGGGGGAUAACUAUUGGAAACGAUAGCUAAUACCGCAUAAGAGUAGAUGUUGCAUGACAUUUGCUUAAAAGGUGCAAUUGCAUCACUACCAGAUGGACCUGCGUUGUAUUAGCUAGUUGGUGGGGUAACGGCUCACCAAGGCGACGAUACAUAGCCGACCUGAGAGGGUGAUCGGCCACACUGGGACUGAGACACGGCCCAGACUCCUACGGGAGGCAGCAGUAGGGAAUCUUCGGCAAUGGACGGAAGGCUGACCGAGCAACGCCGCGUGAGUGAAGAAGGGUUUCGGAUCGUAAAGCUCGGUUGUAAGAGAAGAACGAGUGUGAGAGUGGAAAGUUCACACUGUGACGGUAUCUUACCAGAAAGGGACGGCUAACUACGUG
This 495-nucleotide ribosomal RNA is filed under the name uncultured bacterium. RNAcentral's name for it is "partial 16S ribosomal RNA". It matches the Rfam family "Bacterial small subunit ribosomal RNA", at positions 28 to 507 of the family's 1533-position model. The record is from RNAcentral.